AAGUCGUAACAAGGUUUCCGUAGGUGAACCUGCGGAAGGAUCAUUAUUGAAUAAACCUGAUGUAGUUGUAGCUGGCUCCUAGGAGCAUGUGCACGCUCGUCACUUUUAUCUUUCCACCUGUGCAUCCAUUGUAGGCCUGGAUAACCCUCGCUUGGUUUCAAGCGGACGCGAGAAUUGCUGCUGCUCUUUCUGCAAGGAAAGGCCAGCUUUUCUCGAAUUUCCAGGUCUAUGUUUUCUUACAUACCCCAAUUGAAUGUUACCGAAUGUUAUCAAAUGGGCUUCUGCCUAUAAAACACAAUACAACUUUCAGCAACGGAUCUCUUGGCUCUC
Molecule: unclassified non-coding RNA, 330 nt
Filed under: Lacrymaria lacrymabunda
Lineage: Eukaryota; Fungi; Basidiomycota; Agaricomycetes; Agaricales; Psathyrellaceae
Also listed under: 1 other name
Description: partial internal transcribed spacer region
Rfam family: Eukaryotic small subunit ribosomal RNA (bases 1-46)
Source: RNAcentral